UACGUAGGGGGCAAGCGUUGUCCGGAAUUAUUGGGCGUAAAGAGCGUGUAGGCGGUCCGGUAAGUCGGCUGUGAAAGUCCAGGGCUCAACCCCGGGCCUGCAUUCGAUACGGGCAGACUAGAGUUCGGUAGGGGAGUCUGGAAUUCCUGGUGUAGCGGUGAAAUGCGCAGAUAUCAGGAGGAACACCGGUGGCGAAGGCGGGACUCUGGGCCGAUACUGACGCUGAGGAGCGAAAGCGUGGGGAGCAAACAGG
This 253-nucleotide ribosomal RNA is filed under the name uncultured bacterium. RNAcentral describes it as "partial 16S ribosomal RNA". It matches the Rfam family "Bacterial small subunit ribosomal RNA", at positions 524 to 776 of the family's 1533-position model. The record is from RNAcentral.